AUUGAACGCUGGCGGCAGGCCUAACACAUGCAAGUCGAGCGAGCGGCGGACGGGUGUGUAAUGUAUGGGGACUGCCCGAUAGAGGGGGCUAACUACUGGAAACGGUGGCUAAUACCCCAUACUGUCGGAUAACCCAGAUGGGAUUAGCUAGUAGGUAAGGUAAUGGCUUACCUAGGCGACGAUCCCUAGCUGGUCUGAGAGGAUGAUCAGCCACACUGGGACUGAGACACGGCCCAGACUCCUACGGAGGCAGCAGUGGGGAAUAUUGCACCAUGGGCGCAAGCCUGAUGCAGCCAUGCCGCGUGUAUGAAGAAGGCCCUCGGGUUGUAAAGUACUUUCAGUCGGGAGGCGUUACCGACAGAAGAAGCACCGGCUAACUCCGUGCCAGCAGCCGCGGUAAUUG
Molecule: ribosomal RNA, 403 nt
Filed under: uncultured bacterium
Lineage: Bacteria
Description: partial 16S ribosomal RNA
Rfam family: Bacterial small subunit ribosomal RNA
Source: RNAcentral